This 248-nucleotide ribosomal RNA is filed under the name uncultured bacterium. RNAcentral's name for it is "partial 16S ribosomal RNA". It matches the Rfam family "Bacterial small subunit ribosomal RNA", at positions 524 to 771 of the family's 1533-position model. The record is from RNAcentral.
UACGAAGGGGGCUAGCGUUGUUCGGAUUUACUGGGCGUAAAGCGCACGUAGGCGGAUCGUUAAGUCGGGGGUGAAAUCCUGGAGCUCAACUCCAGAACUGCCUUCGAUACUGGCGAUCUUGAGUCCGGAAGAGGUGAGUGGAAUUCCGAGUGUAGAGGUGAAAUUCGUAGAUAUUCGGAGGAACACCAGUGGCGAAGGCGGCUCACUGGUCCGGUACUGACGCUGAGGUGCGAAAGCGUGGGGAGCAA